Callithrix jacchus (white-tufted-ear marmoset) is the source of this 1664-nucleotide non-coding RNA. The record is from RefSeq and is a predicted model, not a curated record. NCBI's taxonomy places the organism in Eukaryota, Metazoa, Chordata, Mammalia, Primates, Cebidae.
AAUAUCCCUUGGAGAUUCCUUUCCUACAGUGACUUCCUCAGGUACUCCUGUGGAGGGACUCUGCGGUUGGAAUUAAGGUUACUUACCAAUGACCGUAAAAUGAGAUUUAUUUGGAUCAUACAGGUAGGCCCAAUCUAAUCACAUGGGCCCUUAAGAAGAGAGAAACUUCUCUGCCAGAAAGGAGAAAGGACAAAGGAGAAAGGGAUGCAACAGAGAUUCUAAGUUUGAAAAGGACUUGAUACUCGUUGCUGGCUUUGAAAAUGGAGGAAGUGGGCUAUCUGACAAGGAAUGCAGGCAGCCCAGCCAACAGCUGCCAAGAAGACAGGAAUCUCAGUCCUGCAACUGCAAGACACGCAAUUCCUCCAACAACCUUGAUGAAUCUGUAGAAUCUCUAGAAAGGCCAACACCUUGAUUUCAGGCAUGUGAACCUACACCAGAAAAGUAGCUGAGCCUAGACUUCUUACCUACAGAAAUGUAAAAUAAUAAAUGGAUAUUGUUUUAAGCUGCUAAGUUUGUGACAGCAGGUUACACAGAGAUAGGAAACUAAUGCAAACUAUUUUACAAAAUACUGCUAAGUGUUAUUUUAAAUAGUUUUGUAAGAGUGGAAUGGGUGGUAAUGAAACUGGACCCAGGGAGAAGGCUGAUAUGCCAUUCUGCUGUCAGUACAAUUGGAGUAAUAAUCAUAGUCGUAUUCAUAAUCACUGUGCUCAUGAAGCUUAAAUGUACCUUUUGCUUAAAAAUCAUGACUUACAUUUGCUUUAAAAGGGAUUCUAUUUUUACCUACAAAUGUUUAAAAUAUAUUAAACAAUGAUUCUAAAUAUACUAAAUGCUAGUUUGAGAGUUGCAGAAUCAUUACUUGCUUAGGCACGUAAACUGCUCCUAAAUGAUAGAGCCAAAAGAGUCUAACAUUUGGUUGCAAGCCAUAUAUCAUGGGUAGUUUUGUUUUAGUAACACAGAAUAGGAUGUGCUUCAUACUCAAAUUACUAAAAUUAGCACAAUAAUAAUGAAGCAUAUUACUGUGUGAUGGCCAAAGAACCAACCAAUAUUAUGUGUAAUUUCUCGAUGCACCAUCUUAGCCACCGUACAGCAGCAUAAUUAACAUUUAACCCACAGUAACAGGCAAAUAAUGUGGCUGACAUUUUAAUAUCACAGAGCAAAUUGACUGUUAAUGGGUUGAAAAGAUUAUUACUAUAAUAAAUUGAAGAGUAUACUGGAAAAUAAUCACCACCAAUUAUACUGGACAAAGUCUUGAUAAUUUAUUCUAGGCAUAUAUUUUCACCUUUUGAUUUACAAAGUUGUUUAAUAUCAUUAUUCCAUUAAAUACAGCUAAUCAAGUGCCUGAUCAGAAGAAAGACAUCAUUAUAGAGAAAAGGCACCAUCUGCAAGCCAGGAAGACAGACCCUGCCAGAACCUGGCCAUGCCUGUACCCCGUCUCAGACUUGCGGCCUCCAGGAAGUGACCUCACACUGUGCUUUCAAUCCAGGUGUUGAGAGGAUGGAGCUGACACAUCUUACGCUUGCGAGGCUUUAAUGAUGCCCAGAGCUUUCAUUUUCUUUUACACGCUGACAAUGGAAAACACGGUCUCCUUAUGUACAACAUAAAACCUAAUAAAGCAUCCAGCUGUUCUUUCCCUGGUGAUUCCUGCUGCUUCUAUCUGAGGUGCA